This 311-nucleotide ribosomal RNA is filed under the name uncultured bacterium. RNAcentral's name for it is "bacterial SSU rRNA". It matches the Rfam family "Bacterial small subunit ribosomal RNA", at positions 28 to 337 of the family's 1533-position model. The record is from RNAcentral.
GACGAACGCUGGCGGCGUGCUUAACACAUGCAAGUCGAGCGGUAAGGCCCUUUCGGGGGUACGACGAGCGGCGAACGGGUGAGUAACACGUGGGUGACCUGCCCUCAGCUCUGGGAUAAGCCUGGGAAACCGGGUCGUAAUACUGGAUAUGACUCCAUGACGCAUGUUGUGGGGUGGAAAGACCUUGUGCGGCUGAGGAUGGGCCCGCGGCCUAUCAGCUUGUUGGUGGGGUGAGGCCUACCAAGGCGACGACGGGUAGCCGGCCUGAGAGGGCGACCGGCCACACUGGGACUGAGGACACGGCCCAGACU